AGGUAGGUCGGGUAAAGGCAGCAUGCCGCGGAUGCAAGGUGGGCCGCGUCAACAAUCCUUGCACAAUAUAAACGCAAACGAGGAUGCUCGUUUAAUAGCAGCUGCAAACAGGAUUGUUGCUCCGAUCUUUGAAGCAACUCCUUUUGUUCCUGCUAUGGCGUCAGUCCUUCCUCACUAAGCAGGAAGGCCUCAACAUAAGGCUGCCUGCGGCCUUUUGUUGAGCGGAUAGCAGGCUGGCUUCGGCGCUUUCGCCUUUAGUGCCGGGGUAAGAUUUCUAAAAGGCUGCUGCCCGGACGAUCCUGUUUAUCGGAGCAACCGGGAGUAAGCUUAAAAGAUGAACUAAGCAUGUAGGGGCUUUUAUUCGAGUACCUUAGGACGGCGGUUCGAUUCCGCCCACCUCCACCA
This 405-nucleotide transfer-messenger RNA is filed under the name Candidatus Omnitrophota bacterium. RNAcentral's name for it is "Candidatus Omnitrophica bacterium (sediment metagenome) partial transfer-messenger RNA". It matches the Rfam family "transfer-messenger RNA". Rfam says of the family: Bacterial tmRNA, also known as 10Sa RNA or SsrA, is named for its dual tRNA and mRNA-like properties. Lineage: Bacteria; Pseudomonadati; Candidatus Omnitrophota. The record is from RNAcentral.